Acyrthosiphon pisum (pea aphid) is the source of this 428-nucleotide long non-coding RNA. RefSeq lists it as uncharacterized. The record is from RefSeq and is a predicted model, not a curated record. The transcript has 3 exons. NCBI's taxonomy places the organism in Eukaryota, Metazoa, Arthropoda, Insecta, Hemiptera, Aphididae.
UGAAUUCAAAUUUAAUACUAUCCAUUAUACAGUGACCCACUUGUAACCUACUGUACAGCAGAGCGACAUCCGCUUACCCACCUUUUUUUAUUUGUAUUCUUAUUAGUGCGAUGUGUCUAUGGUGAGUAUUAGGUCGAAGAAGCUUUUAUAUUAUUGUAACUUACUUGCAACGCAAUUAUUUGUAUAUCCGUGAACAAUGCGAAGUUCUGAAUGAAAUAUUUAUUAUUAUAGAUAGCAUAGCCUCAAAUUGCCUUUGCUUGUAAUAUAUUAUUUGAGAAACAACAAUUUUGAGGUAGCGAAAUCUGGCCAGUCCGGGUAACAUCAAAUAUCGAACUCGACUCGAAAAUUUUUCCAAAGUCGAGUACUCGACCAACACUAGACCAGAUAUUAGACCUAGAUCUUCCAAGUACCAGACAUAAUAUUAUACU